GGCGUCGGUAGUGCAGUUGGUUAAGCACGCGUCCUCAGAAAGGGUAAGAUUCGGGUUCGAUUCCCGAGUGACGUCA
This is a non-coding RNA of Parelaphostrongylus tenuis, 76 nucleotides long. Lineage: Eukaryota; Metazoa; Nematoda; Chromadorea; Rhabditida; Metastrongylidae. The record is from the annotation of a GenBank genome assembly.